UACGGGGGGGGCAAGCGUUGUUCGGAAUUACUGGGCGUAAAGGGCUCGUAGGUGGCCAACUAAGUCAGACGUGAAAUCCCUCGGCUUAACCGGGAACUGCGUCUGAUACUGGAUGGCUUGAGUUCGGGAGAGGGAUGCGGAAUUCCAGGUGUAGCGGUGAAAUGCGUAGAUAUCUGGAGGAACACCGGUGGCGAAGGCGGGUCUCUGGGCCGUAACUGACGCUGAGGAGCGAAAGCGUGGGGAGCAACAGG
RNAcentral lists this ribosomal RNA (251 nucleotides) under uncultured bacterium. RNAcentral describes it as "partial 16S ribosomal RNA". It matches the Rfam family "Bacterial small subunit ribosomal RNA", at positions 524 to 775 of the family's 1533-position model. The record is from RNAcentral.